AGGGGGAUGUCACUUCCGCGCUAACCGAGCGAUAAAGCUUCCUUUUCAAUCCUUUGCAGCGUUCACUUUCAUCUUUCCGCUUUAUAUUGCUUUAACUCGCGUUAACCGCGAUAACUCGCCUUUUGGCUUACCUUUUGUUGCGUUCGCGCAUCAGACUGCUCGAUUUUUUUGACAGCGAGAACUGUCAAAAGCAAAUGACAGUUCUCGUUGUCAAAUGAUUCGAGCAGUUUGUUUGCUUUUUUUUAAAGAAAGGUCUCAGGGGGAGAUCAUCCGUCGGAACCGUUCUGUGCGUUCCUGUGCCUGCUUGGGUCUCGUUCCACUAGUUUGAGACGGUUCCACCACUGGUUCUUGAGCCAUUCGUCAGUCUCCCGGUGGAGAAAGCCUUCUCAGGUUGAGAAAAUUGCAUGAAAUGAAGGCGCGAACCGGCCCCGAAGGGCACGAUUGAAACCGAUUUUCCAAAGCGCCGAUUUCCUGACCUGAAGCCAUCGGAACGACGGAUCAGAGGAAACUUUCGAAACAUACUUCGACGAAUCUGGUGGGUUUGGAGCUGGGCUAAGCAACACUACACAGAGGUUGCCGAGCAGGACGAUUCUGUGAAAAGGUAUGAAAAUACCGCCGGCAUGAAGGAGCUGCUACCAGUACCUCAAGGAGGUUCCAGUGAAUCCAGAUAAUAUUCCGACUGCGACUGAACAACUAUGCUAGCCAGUACGGUGCAAGUGCUAGCAGCGACUACCAGAACCGCUUCCCGGACUGCCAGCGCAAGGCGUAGUGAUGCAUGAAGCAGUGCCCCUCCUAUCUCGUGAAGGUGAAUGCAACCCAAGUCUGUGCCAGGGCUGGGGAAUCUUCAUAUAGGGCCGCCCCGUCAAGGUGAUCAUUCAUUGAGCAGCUCAAGGUUGUCGGCAAAAAGUUGAGGUUCUCUUAUUCUCAAACAAACAAAUCUGUAAUCAUGUAUUCAAUAAAUUUUGAUAAAUUGUA
Molecule: long non-coding RNA, 975 nt
Organism: Culex pipiens pallens (northern house mosquito)
Lineage: Eukaryota; Metazoa; Arthropoda; Insecta; Diptera; Culicidae
Exons: 2
Source: RefSeq, a predicted model, not a curated record